Long non-coding RNA from Labeo rohita (rohu), 4346 nucleotides. RefSeq lists it as uncharacterized. The transcript is spliced from 4 exons. The record is from RefSeq and is a predicted model, not a curated record. NCBI's taxonomy places the organism in Eukaryota, Metazoa, Chordata, Actinopteri, Cypriniformes, Cyprinidae.
AUAAUUCACCCAAAGUAGAAUUUCCUUGUGGCAAAUUCCAUCCUUUUUCUGUUAGCAGCAGUGUUAUAAGUACACCACUUCUUUCACAAAGAGAAAAAUUAAUUCCCUUAUUAGACAUCUCUUUGUCAUUAACUGACAGUAACUUAUUCAAGCUCAACUUCCUGUUUGAUAAAAUAUAUGUUUUAUUUCUGUCUUUCUGCACUUUCUCAUAAAGACCCUCCCCUUUCGAUGAGCUAUAAAUUGAGCACAGAAACAGACAUGUUAUCUCAUUCACCUCCUGAUCAAAGAUGAAUCUGCCAAUCUCAGAUUUUCUUCUGUUCAUUCCUUUCACCGCAGGACACUCUCAGUACUGUUAUGAGUGCCUGACGGAUUAUUGUAUAGAAAAAACGGUGAGAUGUCCUAUUAGUUCUUCUGGGUGCAUGAGUUCAACAAUAGUAUUAGAAAUGGGUGAUAUUAGCUGUUCAGGGAGUGAAGACCACUGCAUUAAAGCAACAGCGAAUUCAAAGGCCGGUCAAUGGUUGUAAAAGGUUGUGCCUCAAAAUCAGUUUGUAAUACUCCAACAUCUACUGCAAUUAAGGACAUCUCAUGUUGUUAGGAAAACUUGUGUAAUGAUGCUAAGUGUCACUCAGAGCUUCCUGUUCCUCUGCUGUUCUCUGCUCUCCUUCAUCCUGCUGUACUGAAUCCAGCAGCUCUUCACGUUCAGACACGCUGUACAGAAUAUAGGCCUGUUCACACAAAGGUUGAUAACUAUAAAGAUAACGAUAUAGUUUUAAAACUCGUUCUUAGUAUUAAAGAAUAGCAGAGUCCAUACGAUAAAAACAUUGACACCUAAUCAGAAUCAAUCCUGUUAUCACAAGCUCGAGAAUUUAAUGCGAGAGAUGCGUAGAAUAAACAGUGUGGAGACUAAUAUAGUUAUCCUUAUAUUUAUCGUUCUUGAUGUGACAGGCCUUAUAGAGCUUGGCUGUGUACAAAUUCCAAAAUCGCAUACUCUAAUAGGUCAUUUUUGAAUAAGUAAUUACUUUGUAGCCUGUAUCCUCAUGGGAUAGUAAAGUGUCCAUCGAAUGCACACUUCAGAACCACAGCGAAAGUAGUAGGUACUUUUUUUCCCUACUCUUUUAUGAGUACUGUGAAUUCGGACAUACUUCCUUUGUCACAUACUGCUUUUUGCCUACUGUAUGGGAAGUAUGCGAUUUCAGAUAGUGCUGUCAAGUGAUUAAUCACGAUUAAUCGCGAUUAAUCACAUCCAAAACGUUUUUGGUUACAUAAUAUAUCUGUGUGUAUUGUGUAUAUUUAUUAUAUAUAUAUAAAAAACACACACAUACAGUAUAUAUUUUGAAAACAUUUACAUGUAUAUGGUUUUAUUCAUAACAUUAGUAUUAUAUAUAAAUAUAUUUAAUAUAUAAACAUAACAUAUUUUUCUUAAAUAUAUCGAUGCAUGUGUGUGUAUAUAUAUAUAUAUAUAUAUAUAUAAUUAAUAUAUACAGCGCACACACACAUAUAUUAUGUAAACAAAACAUUUUUAUUUUGGAUCACUAUUAAUCGUUUGACAGCACUACUUUAUACAACAGUUCUUGAGAGGAUAUUCACUAAUAUCGCCAUGAGGACUGUUAGGUUUGGCUGAGGGCAAAGUCUCUUUAUACUUUCAUAUCAACUUUAAUGCUGUAUUAGAACUCUUUGCACUUUUGACUAAAUUGCUUGGCAGCUUUUAUGAUGGCCGUUGUUGUUUAUUUAAUAUUAUUAAUCAAUAAAUAUUUGUUCUAUAGAAAUAAUAGUAGUAUUUAAUAAUAGUAUUUGGUAUUAACAAAAUGCUGUGUGUGUGUGGGUCUGUGUGUUUGUGAUGGUGAUUUCAGAUACGCCGUUAGAUGGCGACAAGACUGUGUUUAUGAGUUAGUCAGCAGUAAAGACUUUUAUAUUGAAAGAGAGUGAAACACUGUUGUAAAAAAAAGUUAUUUUUACUUUCAAUAACACCUUGUAAGAUGCAACCCAGCACUGUCCUCGGAAAUCACCCUUAACGUUACUAAGACAAAGAUUGUUCCUCAGUGGACAUUCAAACUAAUAACAGAUGCAGGUAAUCACACUAGCUCAGUCCAUAUUCUCUCAUAAUACUCAUACAACAUAUUAGUACAGUAAUACAGCUUUUAAUGAAGCAACAAAAUGUUCCUUUGUAUUUUACUUUUUAUAUGCUAAACCAGAUUUUUUAACAGAAAUAUUUUUUCUCUAUAUAAAAUGUUGAUAGAGCAAUAUGAUUAAGAGUAGAAUAGAGAAUAGAGUUUUGAUUAAAUACCUUUACCUUUACCCUACAUGUCAAUAGUGAUAUACAAUUUGUCGUCUUAAGCAAAUAGUGCUGUAAAAUAACUGUGAAACAUUUUCUUUUAAAAAGCAUGGUUUUACAUAGAUUAAGUAAAGCUAAGUCUACUUUUUGUCAUUGUAUGCGAUAUAUGUGUGUGUGUGUGUGUGAGAGAGAGAGAGAGAGAGAGAGAGAUUCUGUGGUUGUGUGGUUAUCACUGAUUAGGAAAAACACGAUGCUUCUUGCAAGUCGCUUCUGUGUGGCAAACAGUGUAAGAAUUGAGGGGGGGCUUGAGGGCUCCCGGACCUCAUGUAAGCAUUAAGGGACCCCCCCAUAACACUCAAAACAAUAUACGUGGGGGUUCCCUUGGUUUUUCAAUAAAACCAUAAUUCUUCAAACAUGAAACUAGUGAAAAUGAAAAUUUUCUCUCAUCUCUUCCUUGUGAUUUAUUCCCUAUCAAAGUUGGCUCAACUGUACAGUAGAGAUGUCAGUUAAAGGGUUAAACAAUAGCUAGACUGACUGUGCUCAUUUAGAGUGUGUUCUUUUACUGCGUGAUUCAGUCUAAUAAAAUGCAUUUAAAAUGUUCCCAAAAUUCAAGGUAUGGGGGCAGAAAAUGUAUAUUCAUAUCAUUUCAUAUAGUUAAUAUCACACGAAGAGAGACAUUUUUGUCACAAAAAUCACUAAUGUGAUAUUGAUUUUAUACAACAGUUCAAUAAACUAGAAGUUAACAUUAUCAUUUUUUGAAAAAUAAUUUUAGAUAUCAGCAUUCAACGUUUUAGGAUUAAAAUAUCAGACAUUAUUUAUACAUUUAAUGCAUUCAUGUCCUGCAUUUAACAAUGGGUAAAACCUCUGUCUGUGUUUUCUUUGCAUUGAAAAGAUGAAUUUUGUUGAUAAUGCUUUUUAUUUGUUUGGUAACAGUCUAAAUGUCUUAAUAUUUUAAUUGACUUCAUUGAUUAAGUAUAAGAAUUUGAUGCAAAAGAUAAUGCAUUCUUUUAGAAAAAAAAAAAAGAAUAGAAUAGGAAAAAGGAAAAAAUCACUUUAAACUUGUUGGAAAAUAUUAAUUUCUGCUGUGAACUGACCACACUGAAUAUGAAGAAUAUCAAGAACUAUCAAGAUCAAGAACAUGGCAGUCUUGCAGCGCAACACACUCAGCAAAAUACUGUCUGAUUAUCGUAUAAUUACCAAUAAAAUCUCUCAAAACAUUGAGAUAUAAUUUUUUGCCAAUAUCACAAAUACCUUGAAUCAUAUUUAGAUAAGGUUCUAUUUAUUCAUUUAUUUUUUCAAUUCAAACACUGGUGGUAAAUACUGAAAAUGUGAACCGUUUUGUUUUUAUGUCAUGUUACAAUUCAGAUAAAAAAGGUAUGUUUUCAAUUGUGCUUAUUUGCCUACAAUUUUUUUCUCGUCAUAAUAUUUAUGUAGUAUUUUGUUUCAUGUAUUUAAAUUACAUAUUUUUGAGUUCCUCAAAUCAUGAUACCAAAGAACAGCAGAACAACAAAAAAGCUUUAUUCAGUAAUGCAUAGCGUUACAUAAAAAUAUGUAUCAUUCUGUUUUUGUGGUGGUCUUUGCCCCAGCUGUAGAUUAUGAAGUGCAACUGGACUCACUGAAACAGGAAGUAGAAGAGGAGAGGAGAAAACAGCAGGUGGAAGCUUCCCUUGUACACUCCAUCUGAUCAAGACAAUAAGGAAAUUAGUGGGAUAAAAUGGAAAAUGGAAAUCAGCAAAUGAUCUUAUAAGGGUCUAUACCAGCUGCAUUGCAGAGGUCAGUGUCACAGCACUGGAUAGAUAAUCUCUCUCCAGUCUGUACCCGACCGGUCCCAGGGUAACAGAAAAGUGCACACCCUUUAGCUGUCACGGUGGAAUCUGCAAAAAGGACACAGUUCUUCAUUCAUAAAUUGAUAAUGAAAUAAUUCCAGAAAACAUAUAUAGAUAUUUGUACUUAAUAUUAUUUCUUUUAGUAGGCUAUUGACAGAUUUGAUCAGCAAUGACAUAUUACCACUUUCGCAAUAACUGUAAAUUUCCACAUCAACUAGACUUACCAGUAGCAGUUGAACAUUUGGAAU